GCUGGAAUAGCUCAGUUGGUUAGAGCGUGUGGCUGUUAACCACAAGGUCGGAGGGUCAAGCCCUCUUUCUAAGG
This 74-nucleotide transfer RNA is filed under the name Jatropha curcas. It matches the Rfam family "tRNA". Rfam says of the family: Transfer RNA (tRNA) molecules are approximately 80 nucleotides in length. Their secondary structure includes four short double-helical elements and three loops (D, anti-codon, and T loops). Further hydrogen bonds mediate the characteristic L-shaped molecular structure. tRNAs have two regions of fundamental functional importance: the anti-codon, which is responsible for specific mRNA codon recognition, and the 3' end, to which the tRNAs corresponding amino acid is attached (by aminoacyl-tRNA synthetases). tRNAs cope with the degeneracy of the genetic code in two manners: having more than one tRNA (with a specific anti-codon) for a particular amino acid; and 'wobble' base-pairing, i.e. permitting non-standard base-pairing at the 3rd anti-codon position. The record is from Rfam by way of RNAcentral. Lineage: Eukaryota; Viridiplantae; Streptophyta; Magnoliopsida; Malpighiales; Euphorbiaceae.